This 80-nucleotide transfer RNA is filed under the name Podarcis lilfordi (Lilford's wall lizard). RNAcentral describes it as "tRNA.Lys". The stretch from base 13 to 70 matches the Rfam family "tRNA", at positions 8 to 63 of the family's 71-position model. Rfam says of the family: Transfer RNA (tRNA) molecules are approximately 80 nucleotides in length. Their secondary structure includes four short double-helical elements and three loops (D, anti-codon, and T loops). Lineage: Eukaryota; Metazoa; Chordata; Lepidosauria; Squamata; Lacertidae. The record is from RNAcentral.
UCUCCUGCUGGAUAGCUCAGUCGGUAGAGCAUGAGACUCUUAAUCCCAGGGUUGUGGGUUUGAGCCCCACGUUGGGUGAA